GGUGCUGCAUGGCUGUCGUCAGCUCGUGUCGUGAGAUGUCGGUUAAGUCCGCUAACGAGCGCAACCCUCGCUGUGUGUUAUAUGUGUCACACGGGACUGCCGGUCUUAAGCCGGAGGAAGGUGGGGAUGAUGUCAAGUCAGCAUGGCCUUUAUAUCCUGGGCUACACACACGCUACAAUGGCCAACACAAUAGGUUGCUAAGCCGCGAGGUGGCGCCAAUCCAUAAAGUUGGUCUCAGUUCAGAUUGUAGGCUGCAACCCGCCUGCAUGAAGAUGGAGUUGCUAGUAACCGCAGGUCAGCUAUACUGCGGUGAAUACCGUUCCCGGGCUU
RNAcentral lists this ribosomal RNA (330 nucleotides) under uncultured Leptolinea sp. RNAcentral describes it as "bacterial SSU rRNA". It matches the Rfam family "Bacterial small subunit ribosomal RNA", at positions 1037 to 1381 of the family's 1533-position model. Lineage: Bacteria; Bacillati; Chloroflexota; Anaerolineae; Anaerolineales; Anaerolineaceae. The record is from RNAcentral.